AACGUAGGAGACAAACGUUAUCCGGAUUUACUGGGCGUAAAGGGCGUGUAGGUGGUUUCGUAAGUCUGGCGUGAAAUAUCUCGGCUUAACCGAGGCAGGUCGUCGGAUACUGCGGGACUAGAGGACGGUAGAGGCGUGUGGAAUUCCGGGUGUAGUGGUGAAAUGCGUAGAGAUCCGGAGGAACACCAGUGGCGAAGGCGACACGCUGGGCCGUACCUGACACUGAUGCGCGACAGCAUGGGGAGCAAACAGG
This 253-nucleotide ribosomal RNA is filed under the name uncultured bacterium. RNAcentral describes it as "partial 16S ribosomal RNA". It matches the Rfam family "Bacterial small subunit ribosomal RNA", at positions 524 to 776 of the family's 1533-position model. The record is from RNAcentral.